RNAcentral lists this long non-coding RNA (479 nucleotides) under Equus caballus (horse). RNAcentral describes it as "lncRNA (ENSECAG00000042644.2)". Lineage: Eukaryota; Metazoa; Chordata; Mammalia; Perissodactyla; Equidae. The record is from RNAcentral.
UAAAUGACAGUUUUCGACUUACCUUGCUGAAUGGGUUGGUUGCUGGAAGUCAGGGCUAUGGGGAGAGCUCUAAGCAGCCAGCUGGAGGACAGGCAUCGCUUAUGACAAAAGAGCUGGAUUUGGAGGUGCCUAGCAGGAAGUUUUCCAAAGAGAUAGCAGAGCUCCAGGGGACCGUGAGUGAGCUGUGGACAUCUGCCAUGCCACAGGGCACCAAUGCCCUUUUACAAUCCCUCCACUCAACUCACUGCUCUGUCAUUUCCUAAAGGCGUAAGCACUGUUGUCACAGUCUAAGAUGGUGGCUAGAGCUUCAGUCGUCGUAUUCAUGCUCCCGGGAGCAGGAUGGAGAAAGGAUGAAGAAGAUGUCCAUGAGUCAGCUGUCUUGUAAGGAAGGUUCCUAGAAGCUGCCACAUGACAUUUCUGCUUAUAUUCCAUCAGCCAGGGCGUAGUCACAUGGAUCCGCCAAACUGCAAAGAGACGAU